Molecule: microRNA, 23 nt
Filed under: Python bivittatus (Burmese python)
Lineage: Eukaryota; Metazoa; Chordata; Lepidosauria; Squamata; Pythonidae
Description: pbv-miR-3618-5p
Source: miRBase by way of RNAcentral
UGAUUUCCAGUAAUUGAGACAGU